This 1038-nucleotide long non-coding RNA is filed under the name Podarcis muralis (Common wall lizard). RNAcentral describes it as "lncRNA (ENSPMRG00000018949.1)". Lineage: Eukaryota; Metazoa; Chordata; Lepidosauria; Squamata; Lacertidae. The record is from RNAcentral.
AGCGUAUUUGUAAAAACUAAAAACCGGUACAGUUUUCCCUGCUCGAGUCCCAGAGAGCGAGGCGGGGAAGCCAAGGGCCAAGACAGGAGGAGAAGCGUCCUUCAUCUCCCGGCCUUUCCGAGUCCACAGCCGAGAGCGCGCGCUCGAGUCCGGGGCGACGGGGCGGUCCAGGCUCCCUGCUUGCUCCAGCGGCCGUCGGGGCUCCCGGUCGGAUGGCUUCCCUUGUACUCCGCAGUCGCUGUCUCCGCCGGAGUCGGUGCAGCACGGUGGGGUCGGUCGAGGGAUGGGGUUGGCGGGGAGAAAGGUUGUGCCUCCGGCCUCCUGGGCCGGAUCGAGUCCCUAGCGCGCCGAGGUGUCGGGCGUCGUCGUGGGCGGCACGGCGGUGGUCAGCGGCCUCGUGGUCUCUCCGGAGUCGGGCGUGAGCGGGCCGGGGUCGGGGCCGGGGGCCGUCCCGGGCGGCUGGGGCGGGGUGUGCGGCCCGCCGCGCACGGGCUGCCAGAUGAGGCUGUAGUAGACGGCCAGCACGAUGGCGGCCAGCGAGACGGAGAGGACGUAGGCCAGCACGGUGGCCAGGCGCACCCACUUCUUGUUGGUCUUGGCCGCCAUGCGCGCCUUCUUGUCCCCGGUGUAAGUGGCCGGCUUGCCCCGCUCCCCGCCCGCCCCCGCCUCCUUCUCCUUCAUGGGGGCGCGGCCUUUGGCCCGCUGCUCCACCGCCCUCUCCGUCUUGCUGAGGCUCCCGAGCGGGAUGGGCCCCGAGGGACGCGCCGCCGCCGCCGAUCACAUCACGACAUGCCCCGGGGCGCCGGGAGAACCAGGCGCUGCUGCUGCUGCUGCUUCUGCUGCAGCGGGUGGGCCUCGCAGGCAGGCGGCGGACGGCGAUCGACGGCCUCGGCGGCGAGCUUGCGACGCGCCCGGCUGCAGGGAGGCGGCCGUGGGUGGGAAGCCCGUCGGCGGAAAGGCAGCGUCGCUCGGCCCCGGCCCGCGGCGAGGAUGCUGCUGUCGGGGCGCGCGCCUCCCUCUCUCUUUCGCAGCAGCUGA